UUAAGCGACUAAGCGUACACGGUGGAUGCCCUGGCAGUCAGAGGCGAUGAAGGACGUGCUAAUCUGCGAAAAGCGUCGGUAAGGUGAUAUGAACCGUUAUAACCGGCGAUGUCCGAAUGGGGAAACCCAGUGCAAUUCGUUGCACUAUCGUUAACUGAAUACAUAGGUUAACGAGGCGAACCGGGGGAACUGAAACAUCUAAGUACCCCGAGGAAAAGAAAUCAACCGAGAUUCCCCCAGUAGCGGCGAGCGAACGGGGAGCAGCCCAGAGUCUGAAUCAGCUUGUGUGUUAGUGGAACGGUCUGGAAAGUCCGACGGUACAGGGUGAUAGUCCCGUACACCAAAAUGCACAGGCUGUGAACUCGAAGAGUAGGGCGGGACACGUGGUAUCCUGUCUGAAUAUGGGGGGACCAUCCUCCAAGGCUAAAUACUCCUGACUGACCGAUAGUGAACCAGUACCGUGAGGGAAAGGCGAAAAGAACCCCGGCGAGGGGAGUGAAAAAGAACCUGAAACCGUGUACGUACAAGCAGUGGGAGCACCUUCGGGUGUGACUGCGUACCUUUUGUAUAAUGGGUCAGCGACUUAUAUUCUGUAGCAAGGUUAACCGUAUAGGGGAGCCGCAGGGAAACCGAGUCUUAACUGGGCGUUAAGUUGCAGGGUAUAGACCCGAAACCCGGUGAUCUAGCCAUGGGCAGGUUGAAGGUUGGGUAACACUAACUGGAGGACCGAACCGACUAAUGUUGAAAAAUUAGCGGAUGACUUGUGGCUGGGGGUGAAAGGCCAAUCAAACCGGGAGAUAGCUGGUUCUCCCCGAAAGCUAUUUAGGUAGCGCCUCGUGAAUUCAUCUUCGGGGGUAGAGCACUGUUUCGGCUAGGGGGUCAUCCCGACUUACCAACCCGAUGCAAACUACGAAUACCGAAGAAUGUUAUCACGGGAGACACACGGCGGGUGCUAACGUCCGUCGUGAAGAGGGAAACAACCCAGACCGCCAGCUAAGGUCCCAAAGUCAUGGUUAAGUGGGAAACGAUGUGGGAAGGCACAGACAGCCAGGAUGUUGGCUUAGAAGCAGCCAUCAUUUAAAGAAAGCGUAAUAGCUCACUGGUCGAGUCGGCCUGCGCGGAAGAUGUAACGGGGCUAAACCAUGCACCGAAGCUGCGGCAGCGACACUAUGUGUUGUUGGGUAGGGGAGCGUUCUGUAAGCCUGCGAAGGUGACCUGUGAGGGUUGCUGGAGGUAUCAGAAGUGCGAAUGCUGACAUAAGUAACGAUAAAGCGGGUGAAAAGCCCGCUCGCCGGAAGACCAAGGGUUCCUGUCCAACGUUAAUCGGGGCAGGGUGAGUCGACCCCUAAGGCGAGGCCGAAAGGCGUAGUCGAUGGGAAACAGGUUAAUAUUCCUGUACUUGGUGUUACUGCGAAGGGGGGACGGAGAAGGCUAUGUUAGCCGGGCGACGGUUGUCCCGGUUUAAGCAUGUAGGCUGAUUGUCCAGGCAAAUCCGGAUAAUCAAGGCUGAGGUGUGAUGACGAGGCACUACGGUGCUGAAGUAACAAAUGCCCUGCUUCCAGGAAAAGCCUCUAAGCAUCAGGUAACAUCAAAUCGUACCCCAAACCGACACAGGUGGUCAGGUAGAGAAUACCAAGGCGCUUGAGAGAACUCGGGUGAAGGAACUAGGCAAAAUGGUGCCGUAACUUCGGGAGAAGGCACGCUGGUGUGUAGGUGAAGCCCCUGCGGGUGGAGCUGAGACCAGUCGAAGAUACCAGCUGGCUGCAACUGUUUAUUAAAAACACAGCACUGUGCAAACACGAAAGUGGACGUAUACGGUGUGACGCCUGCCCGGUGCCGGAAGGUUAAUUGAUGGGGUUAUCCGUAAGGAGAAGCUCUUGAUCGAAGCCCCGGUAAACGGCGGCCGUAACUAUAACGGUCCUAAGGUAGCGAAAUUCCUUGUCGGGUAAGUUCCGACCUGCACGAAUGGCGUAAUGAUGGCCAGGCUGUCUCCACCCGAGACUCAGUGAAAUUGAACUCGCUGUGAAGAUGCAGUGUACCCGCGGCAAGACGGAAAGACCCCGUGAACCUUUACUAUAGCUUGACACUGAACAUUGAGCCUUGAUGUGUAGGAUAGGUGGGAGGCUUUGAAGCGUGGACGCCAGUCUGCGUGGAGCCAACCUUGAAAUACCACCCUUUAAUGUUUGAUGUUCUAACGUUGGCCCCUUACCGGGGUUGCGGACAGUGUCUGGUGGGUAGUUUGACUGGGGCGGUCUCCUCCCAAAGCGUAACGGAGGAGCACGAAGGUUAGCUAAUCCUGGUCGGACAUCAGGAGGUUAGUGCAAUGGCAUAAGCUAGCUUGACUGCGAGCGUGACGGCGCGAGCAGGUGCGAAAGCAGGUCAUAGUGAUCCGGUGGUUCUGAAUGGAAGGGCCAUCGCUCAACGGAUAAAAGGUACUCCGGGGAUAACAGGCUGAUACCGCCCAAGAGUUCAUAUCGACGGCGGUGUUUGGCACCUCGAUGUCGGCUCAUCACAUCCUGGGGCUGAAGUAGGUCCCAAGGGUAUGGCUGUUCGCCAUUUAAAGUGGUACGCGAGCUGGGUUUAGAACGUCGUGAGACAGUUCGGUCCCUAUCUGCCGUGGGCGCUGGAGAAUUGAGGGGGGCUGCUCCUAGUACGAGAGGACCGGAGUGGACGCAUCACUGGUGUUCGGGUUGUCAUGCCAAUGGCACUGCCCGGUAGCUAAAUGCGGAAGAGAUAAGUGCUGAAAGCAUCUAAGCACGAAACUUGCCCCGAGAUGAGUUCUCCCUGAGACUUUAAGUCUCCUGAAGGAACGUUGAAGACGACGACGUUGAUAGGCCGGGUGUGUAAGCGCAGCGAUGCGUUGAGCUAACCGGUACUAAUGAACCGUGAGGCUUAACCUU
RNAcentral lists this ribosomal RNA (2900 nucleotides) under Klebsiella pneumoniae. RNAcentral's name for it is "bacterial LSU rRNA". It matches the Rfam family "Bacterial large subunit ribosomal RNA". RNAcentral also lists the same sequence under 1 other name. The record is from RNAcentral. Lineage: Bacteria; Pseudomonadati; Pseudomonadota; Gammaproteobacteria; Enterobacterales; Enterobacteriaceae.